RNAcentral lists this ribosomal RNA (344 nucleotides) under uncultured bacterium. RNAcentral's name for it is "bacterial SSU rRNA". It matches the Rfam family "Bacterial small subunit ribosomal RNA", at positions 1 to 334 of the family's 1533-position model. The record is from RNAcentral.
CUAGCGACUUCAGAGUUUGAUCCUGGCUCAGGAUGAACGCUGGCGGCGUGCUUAACACAUGCAAGUCGAACGGACUUUUGAUGAAACCUAGUGAUUUAAAAGUUAGUGGCGGACGGGUGAGUAACGCGUGAAUAACCUGCCUUAUACUGGGGGACAACAGUUGGAAACGACUGCUAAUACCGCAUAAGCGCACGGAGCUGCAUGGCUCAGUGUGAAAAACUCCGGUGGUAUAAGAUGGAUUCGCGUCUGAUUAGCUAGUUGGUGAGGUAACGGCUCACCAAGGCAACGAUCAGUAGCCGGCCUGAGAGGGUGAACGGCCACAUUGGGACUGAGACACGGCCCAA